This is a long non-coding RNA of Scatophagus argus, 2169 nucleotides long. RefSeq lists it as uncharacterized. Lineage: Eukaryota; Metazoa; Chordata; Actinopteri; Scatophagidae. The transcript is spliced from 3 exons. The record is from RefSeq and is a predicted model, not a curated record.
UCUUGAUGGACUAUGAACACUCAGCCACCAGCUUAUGGAUGCCAGUGACACAGUCCACUUUCAUAGAGGCAAAACCGGACUCUUUUGUUUUUCAUGAUUCUUCUGGUUGUUCUUGUAACGCCACCUCACAGCUUCAUUAUGAAGGCGGAAAAUAUUCUGCUGAGUCUUUACCUGUGUUUUGUGCCACUGCUAGUUGUGAGCAUAAGCUGUAUAUUUUGAUCUGACGCAGAGGAGGCUACCUGUGUGAGUGGUCAACCUCAAAUAGCAAGUGCCUUUGUUUUUUUUUUCCAGAAUAUUUGAUCACUCUGCUUGCAGGCCCCAAACCUCCCUGCCUUUCUGGGAAAAAUAGUUUUGAAAUAUGCACACACAGUUUUAACUGAUGUAGUUGUUGAUGUUUCACUUGUUGUGCGUUUUCUGUAUGAAUUGUUAAGUCACUGCCACAUGGUUUACUUCGAAGCUUGAAGUUGCAGUACUGUAGUUAAUUGCUGUUCAGGUGUUUGUUCAGAAAAAUCCAAUUAGUCAUGUGAGGAGAGGGGCACCCCUUUUAGGACUUAAUAUUGGCACAGGGUUAGCUGCUGCUGUGAUUCUGUUGUGUACAUCAGGGAUACAUGUUUCAUAGAGAAGCUGGAAUUUGCACAAAUAAAUGAUUUGAGUUCCACUGUAGUAGUGAAGAACUAAACCAAAUGAAGGACCUGACCUUUAUCCCAGACUUGAGUCAGUGAGCAUGGGAUGUUUUUCUUUUAAUUGUUUAGAAACAUAUUGACCUUAACGAUUUGAGUUUAUACAGAAAAAAAUGUAUUUAUUUUUGUUUAUGCAAAACACAAAUAAAUGUCUACUUACCUGCUGUUUUCCUGCCCUGCAGUAAAUUCUUGUAACAAGAAAGCUUAAUGGCAAAUUAAGAUACGUUUCGUCCAGGUAAUUAGUAAAUAUAAAUUAAUUCCACCUAAAUAGUUAGUAAAUGUAGUAAAUCACUUUUUUGCAGAUAUUUGGUAAAUCUAACUUACUUUUGUUCAGAUACCUAGUAAAUAAAAAAAAUUGCCAUAAUAUUAGUAAAUCCAAAAUAUUUCAGCUGAUAAUUUCAUUAUUUUGUACUUAAGUGUUUUGUUUAAAUGAACUUAAAUCAAUAGAUUUGUAGUACAUAAAAUCUAUUCAAUUAUAUUAAGGAUCACUUUCUUGCCAUAAUUUUUUUUAAGCAGCCAAUGGUCAAACUUUUUUGAGUGUGUGGAAGGUGGGACAGGGUGAAGAAGAUGAGACCAGAACAGAAGGAACCCAGACGUGAUGAACAGCUCCAGGAUCAGAGAAGACAUGAGUGAAGCGACAUGGACAUGGGUGACAUGGAAGAACAUGGGAAACUCUACGAUCUCAAGUGAUAAGAAGGACCCCAGAGGAGCCACAGAAUGAGAAACAAGAUGAGGAAAAGCCCCAGGACACAACAAAGAAGAGGAAACAGGCCGGGGAAGAGCAACAAGAUGAAGGAAGAUGAAUGGAAGAGCACAGUGAGACAUAAAAGUAGUAAUGAACUGACUCAAUUUCUUAACUGACUUGACUUCUGAAUCGAGAUGCAGUGAGUUGGUGGCAACUUCCGAUGUGCAGAUCUGUGAGGAGCAUCCCAAACCCACCAGCACAGAAGAAGUGAAUGGAAACAACAGCAUCCCCUGUGCUGGUCGGGCCCGGGCGGCCCUCGUCGUCUGGACAGGUGUAGAGGGUGGGGUCAGGGGUUGCUGUAUAUAACAGAAAUAGGACAGAAUGUGAGAAUUUUCUAACUACUCAACUACUUACUUUUACAAUCACAGUUCCAAAAUGAUUGGGACAAAACAAAACAGAAUGUGAUCAUUUGUUAAUCCUUUUUGACAUAUAUUCAGUUGAAAACAGCACAAAGGCAAUACAACCGCACUACCCUCCAGAUGGUCCUGCAGUAAUCCCUGUCAUCUGGUCCAUAUCUUUGUGCUUGUGGAAAUCCAAGGCUUGCACUUCUCAGGUCAGCAUCUGUGGAAACAAAAAAAAAAGAAAAAAACGGAAACUACAAAAACAAAACAACAAAAAAACAAAAAAACAACAAAAAUUAUUAAAUUAAUUGGAAAAAUUGCAGGAGAAUUUCACUGACAUUUUUCUGCAUUUUUUACUUACCUCUAAGCGUAACCAUCAAUACCUCAGGAAUACAAAAGAUCA